RNAcentral lists this transfer RNA (60 nucleotides) under Culex quinquefasciatus (southern house mosquito). It matches the Rfam family "tRNA", at positions 7 to 64 of the family's 71-position model. From Rfam's summary of the family: Transfer RNA (tRNA) molecules are approximately 80 nucleotides in length. Their secondary structure includes four short double-helical elements and three loops (D, anti-codon, and T loops). The record is from Rfam by way of RNAcentral. Lineage: Eukaryota; Metazoa; Arthropoda; Insecta; Diptera; Culicidae.
GUGGCCGAUUGGUUACGCUGUCCGCUUUGUAAGCGGAUGAUUGUGGGUUCGAUUCCCAUC